UCUCUAUCUCUACACCUAUAAAUCUCUACGCCUAUAAAUCCACCAAAAUUUUCUUUUCUACGUCCACCCCAUGAAAUGCCCCCCACUGAUAUUCCAUUCGAUCUAUCCACACCAACCAAUACACACACCUUCAAAUUGUACCGUCCAGAUCCCCUUUCAUAUUUCUCACUCAAAUCCAACCGUCAAUAUUAUUUGGAUCAUCCACGUACCCCUUCACCCCCACCCACCCGCCCGCGCCCCUCACGGACUCGUGCACGCCCGCGCCCCGACGCGCUCCUCGGUCCCUCACGCCCGCGACUCCUCGGCUCCUCUCCUGCAGGCGACGCGUCCUCUCCUCUCCUCGCGCCGCCACAUCUGCACUCCGCCGCAUCGAAAUCGCGCCGCGCCACCGUGGCCGUGUUGGGCAGCGGCCGACGACGCCAUCGGCCAGAUGUCGGCAUGAUGCCCCCUACCUGCGCGUGCGCGAGCUGUUGGUGGACGGCGCCGCGGCCGACAAGUCAGUCAAGCAUCAAGGUGGCCACUGGCCACAGGCCUCGAGGAGCUUAGGUUGUGAGGUCUCAUGAUGACGCGCAAGAUCAAGAUCCAGGUGAGGCCAAGCUGUACUCUAGCGCAAGUAAGUCCAAGCUCAUCCAUAUCCUUGCUCCUGGUCGCCCCCUCUUAAUGGCCGAUCGAUUGGUGCCAUGAGUAAGAAACAGCCAAGCGAUUUCCCCCAAUCCCCACCCCCUCCUUGAUUUGGUAGACGCUGGAUGCAAAUCUCAUGAGAUUUGUUGGUAGAUAUUAUUUCCAAUACCUUUGAUGCCUGUGAGCUUGAAGUUCAAAACAGUUUUAUUUCAUUUGUUCGGACAACUAGAUGUCAUUGUCUGGAAAGUUCAUCAUUUUAUUCAGUUUCAUGAGAGCAAUUUGGCAUGUAGUGGUAACUUUUAGAUGGGUCAUGCAAACAAACGAUUUGAUCAUAAGUGAUUAUAUUUCCCCCUUACACAAUAACACACUGUCAAUUUAUUUACUAAUCUGACCUGAAUUGUCACUAACUUCAGUUUUGUGUACUUCACUUCUUUGUCAUAAUAAAAGUGUUUAGAUCUUAGGACCAGCCUUUGGCAUUGGAAAACUCGAAAACUCUGAUGCUUGUUAGCUUUUGCCUUUUUGAUGUUUCACUUCUGAUAGUAGAUAACAUGUGAACAAUGUUUAUUACUAUGCAUGAAUUUCAGUGUGUGCAUGAUGCAAAUGUAGGAGGAAGGCAUCCCAGAUGGUCUCUACAAUUAGCCUCAUGUUCUACUUGUCAGAACAAAUUAUCUUCUUGUAGUAGCGCUCAUCUGCAUGUUUUACUUGUCAGUCCUCUAUGCUGAUUCCAGGUUUGCUCCCGUCAUGCUUCACGUGUUGGAAUCAGUUCUUUUUGUUUCCUCUCAGCAUAUGGUUUCAUGAAAAUUGAAUCUCCCUGUUUGAUGGAAUGCGGUAGAGAACCCUGCUGUCCCUUCAGCCUGCCUUCCUGCUCCUGCUCUUCAGAUGCUUACCUGGAAUAUAAGGACUUCUGAAGUUUAAAAUAUAUGCUAACUCAAAUGUUAUGCUUUUUCUCUCCCACCUGUCGGAUGACAUUACUAAGUUGGAAAACAAAUGCACAGUGGCUAUUUUGUCAAUGAGUAAUCAAGUAAUAGAGGGUUGGGAUCAAUGCAUCAAGACCAUGAGUGUAGUGGAAUUUUUGUCAAGAACAAUCUAUGUUUUUCCUAACAAUUUACUGAUUACAAUGUUUGCUUUUUUUUCAGGUAAACUAGACCAUGGCGACACAUGGCUCAUAUUAAGCAAACUGCUUGAAAGUUCGUUGGAGGAAAGGCUCCUAGUAGGUUGCAUGCGGAAGCAUACCUGCUUGCUCUGUUGGAGGACACAAACUUGUGUGCCAUCCAUGCCAACCACCGAUGGACAUUUAGCUAGCUUGAAGGAUCUUCAGAGAGAGGGUUUAGGUUCUCUGCUACAGCUAGGAUGUUAAAGAUACUUGUUAUUAAUAGAAAACCGGCAAUCUCUGCCGGGUUUUUACGUUUCAAAAAAAGAUACUUAUUACUUGAAAAUUAAACUAUGCAAGUGAUGUAUUCUCUUGUUUCAAUUGAGGUGUGUCUCGUAUACCCAUAUAAAAUGUACCAUUUCAAAGAUAAGAUUGAAGUAUUUGUUA
This is a long non-coding RNA of Setaria italica (foxtail millet), 2158 nucleotides long. RefSeq lists it as uncharacterized. The transcript has 2 exons. NCBI's taxonomy places the organism in Eukaryota, Viridiplantae, Streptophyta, Magnoliopsida, Poales, Poaceae. The record is from RefSeq and is a predicted model, not a curated record.